This 311-nucleotide long non-coding RNA is filed under the name Elaeis guineensis (African oil palm). RNAcentral's name for it is "long non-coding RNA (EGUI_LNC045839)". Lineage: Eukaryota; Viridiplantae; Streptophyta; Magnoliopsida; Arecales; Arecaceae. The record is from RNAcentral.
UGGCAGGAAAUUCCUAAUGAGGUGGGCAAUGGUUGAGAAUAGAGGUUCUAGGAAAAUUGAUGGACUAAGCACAAGUGGUUGUGGUUUGGAAAGUGGGUGCACCAAAGUGAGCAUGGAGUCCCAAGGGGUGACUAGACUGAGCUCUGAUGAGGUAUGUUCUGAUUCGGCUACAUGGGUUCGUCUCCUCCCUCCUCUGUUUUGGUUGCGCCGGGCUGAGGACGGGCUGUCAUCCUCCUAAUUCAAGUGAUGGCGCCAGGAGCCAGUGGAGGGUGAACGUCCUACCGGGCCAUUCCAAAACUCCCAAAUCUCCC